GACGAACGCUGGCGGCGUGCCUAAUACAUGCAAGUAGAACGCUGAAGGAGGAGCUUGCUUCUCUGGAUGAGUUGCGAACGGGUGAGUAACGCGUAGGUAACCUGCCUGGUAGCGGGGGAUAACUAUUGGAAACGAUAGCUAAUACCGCAUAAGAGUAGAUGUUGCAUGACAUUUGCUUAAAAGGUGCAAUUGCAUCACUACCAGAUGGACCUGCGUUGUAUUAGCUAGUUGGUGGGGUAACGGCUCACCAAGGCGACGAUACAUAGCCGACCUGAGAGGGUGAUCGGCCACACUGGGACUGAGACACGGCCCAGACUCCUACGGGAGGCAACAGUAGGGAAUCUUCGGCAAUGGACGGAAGUCUGACCGAGCAACGCCGCGUGAGUGAAGAAGGGUUUCGGAUCGUAAAGCUCUGUUGUAAGAGAAGAACGAGUGUGAGAGUGGAAAGUUCACACUGUGACGGUAUCUUACCAGAAAGGGACGGCUAACUACGUG
RNAcentral lists this ribosomal RNA (495 nucleotides) under uncultured bacterium. Its description in RNAcentral is "partial 16S ribosomal RNA". It matches the Rfam family "Bacterial small subunit ribosomal RNA", at positions 28 to 507 of the family's 1533-position model. The record is from RNAcentral.